GGAUCGGUCACCUCAGGGGAACAGUGGGUCACAGGGGCAUCUGGUUGUCAUUUCCUCUCUGGUCAGCAUGAGAGAAGCAAGGAGGAAAAAAAAAAAAGUACAUUUUAUUUAUCUCAUGUCUUGUUCUGCAGCAUCAAAAGGUCCAACAGCAUCCAGUCAGAGCAGGAGAGGCUCACACGAUGUGAUGAAGUCCAGGAUUUGGGACUGAGAACUGUGUGGUUGAUUUGCUUAGCUUUGAGGGUACUGAGCAUCACAGUAGCUAAGGAAUCAUGAACAAGCCUGUGCAAGAGAGAGGAAUUUAAAAAUGAGCUUUCUUAGGCAAGAAGCUGCCCUGGCCUGAAGCCUAAGACCCAGCCUUCCACCUCCUUCAUCAGCCCAUCAUUAUGGGCUCUGUUUUUGUCACAUAUGUCAUUUUCCAAAGUGUGCUGUAUAUGAUACAUUUGUCUGAAGAAUCCUAUGAUUACCAGUCUGCUUGAUUUUUGAAAUGUUUGCUAUUUUUCUUUAUAGCUUGUUCUAACUAUGAUGAAACACCAGUACAUCAAAACUGGAAGUCAUAUGCAGUUACUAGUAAAUGCCUAUCAAAUGGCUCUAAA
Long non-coding RNA from Parus major (Great Tit), 593 nucleotides. RefSeq lists it as uncharacterized. Lineage: Eukaryota; Metazoa; Chordata; Aves; Passeriformes; Paridae. The transcript has 3 exons. The record is from RefSeq and is a predicted model, not a curated record.